RNAcentral lists this transfer RNA (73 nucleotides) under Stegodyphus mimosarum. It matches the Rfam family "tRNA". From Rfam's summary of the family: Transfer RNA (tRNA) molecules are approximately 80 nucleotides in length. Lineage: Eukaryota; Metazoa; Arthropoda; Arachnida; Araneae; Eresidae. The record is from Rfam by way of RNAcentral.
GUCUUCGUGGUGCAAUGGUCAGCAUGCUCGGCGCAUAUUCUAGAGGGCCGUGGUUCGAAUCCCGGCGAGGGCA